UACAGAGGGUGCAAGCGUUGUUCGGAAUCAUUGGGCGUAAAGGGCUCGUAGGCGGUUUGUCGCGUCGGGAGUGAAAACACUGGGCUUAACCCAGUGCUUGCUUUCGAUACGGGCAGACUAGAGGUAUGCAGGGGAGAACGGAAUUCCUGGUGUAGCGGUGAAAUGCGCAGAUAUCAGGAGGAACACCGGUGGCGAAGGCGGUUCUCUGGGCAUGAUCUGACGCUGAGGAGCGAAAGUGUGGGGAGCGAACAGG
Molecule: ribosomal RNA, 253 nt
Filed under: uncultured bacterium
Lineage: Bacteria
Description: partial 16S ribosomal RNA
Rfam family: Bacterial small subunit ribosomal RNA
Source: RNAcentral